This 287-nucleotide long non-coding RNA is filed under the name Elaeis guineensis (African oil palm). RNAcentral's name for it is "long non-coding RNA (EGUI_LNC036530)". The record is from RNAcentral. Lineage: Eukaryota; Viridiplantae; Streptophyta; Magnoliopsida; Arecales; Arecaceae.
GGUGUCAUGUUACACCGGCUCAGAGGGAGAUCUUCUAUAGCCACUUACAGAUAAAAUAAUAUUUAGUAAAAUAUUUAAAUAAUAUUAUAUUCUUAUAAUAUUUAUUAUUGGUAGGCUAUAUUUGAUAUUAUUGAUUUUGAGCACGAUUAUAUGCGGCAAGCUAUGGAUGAUCAUUUAUGUUCGCAUUUCAAGGAUUACCACCAUUGCAUUCAUUGCCACUGAUAUGCUGUAGUGCAGGACCAGGGGGUGGAGGCAGUGUGGCAGCAGCCAUAUGAAAACAUCAGUAU